This 592-nucleotide long non-coding RNA is filed under the name Phaseolus vulgaris (common bean). RNAcentral's name for it is "long non-coding RNA (PVUL_LNC002969)". Lineage: Eukaryota; Viridiplantae; Streptophyta; Magnoliopsida; Fabales; Fabaceae. The record is from RNAcentral.
UGAAGAUGAUGGAGGUUGGGUGACAGGGGAAUUGGAAUUUGGAGUUGGGGCAUAGGGGUAGGGUGAUUGAGAUGUUGGGGAAGGAGUGUUUGGAGGUGACGGAAUGUAGGGAGGUUGGGAAAUGGGAGAAGGAGUGGUGGAUGGUGGUGUGGAAAUGUAAGAAGGUGGCUGGGAUAUUGGGGAAGGAGUGGUGGAUGGUGGUGUGGAAAUGUAAGGUGGCUGGGAUAUUGGGGAAGGAGUGGUGUUUGGAGGUGAUGGGAUGUAAGGAGGCUGAGAUAUUGGGGAAGGAGUGUUUGGAGGUGAUGGGGUGUAAGGAGGCUGGGAAGUAGGAGAAGGAGUAUUGGGUUGUGGAGGCACAUAAGGUGACUGAGAAAAGGGUGAUGGGGUUAUUGGAACAAAGGGUGGUUGAUGAUGAGGGGAAGGGGUGUUUGGAGGUAGAGGAGCAUGGGGUGGAUGGUUAUUAGGGGAAGGAGCAUAAGUGGGAGAAGGUGUGUUGGGAGGUAUGGGAGCAUAGGGUGGUUGAGCUUUGGGAGGAAAGGGAAGAUUAGUAGGAGGUGAAGGUGCUUCUGGAGGAGUAUAAACAGGGGGAGGA